This 255-nucleotide ribosomal RNA is filed under the name uncultured bacterium. RNAcentral's name for it is "partial 16S ribosomal RNA". It matches the Rfam family "Bacterial small subunit ribosomal RNA", at positions 524 to 776 of the family's 1533-position model. The record is from RNAcentral.
UACGUAGGGUGCAAGCGUUGUCCGGAAUUAUUGGGCGUAAAGAGCUCGUAGGCGGUCUGUCGCGUCUGCUGUGAAAACUCAGGGCUUAACCCUGAGCUUGCAGUGGGUACGGGCAGACUAGAGUGCGGUAGGGGAGACUGGAAUUCCUGGUGUAGCGGUGAAAUGCGCAGAUAUCAGGAGGAACACCGGUGGCGAAGGCGGGUCUCUGGGCCGUAACUGGACGCUGGAGGAGCGAAAGCAUGGGGAGCGAACGGG